RNAcentral lists this ribosomal RNA (424 nucleotides) under uncultured bacterium. RNAcentral's name for it is "partial 16S ribosomal RNA". It matches the Rfam family "Bacterial small subunit ribosomal RNA", at positions 360 to 776 of the family's 1533-position model. The record is from RNAcentral.
AAUAUUGGACAAUGGGCGAAAGCCUGAUCCAGCCAUCCCGCGUGUGCGAUGAAGGCCUUCGGGUUGUAAAGCACUCUUGGCAGGAAAGAAACGGCUCUGGCUAACAUCUGGAGCCGCUGACGGUACCUGCAGAAUAAGCACCGGCUAACUACUCGCGAGGAGCCGCAGUAAUACGUAGGGUGCAAGCGUUAAUCGGAAUUACUGGGCGUAAAGCGUGCGCAGGCGGUUCGGAAAGAAAGAUGUGAAAUCCCAGGGCUUAACCUUGGAACUGCAUUUUUAACUACCGGGCUAGAGUGUGUCAGAGGGAGGUGGAAUUCCGCGUGUAGCAGUGAAAUGCGUAGAUAUGCGGAGGAACACCGAUGGCGAAGGCAGCCUCCUGGGAUAACACUGACGCUCAUGCACGAAAGCGUGGGGAGCAAACAGG